AGCGAACGUUAGCGGCGCGCCUAACACAUGCAAGUCGCACGAGAAAGGGAGCAAUCCCCGGUACAGUGGCGCACGGGUGAGUAACACGUAGAUGACCUUCCCUGGAGUGGUGGAUAACCUGCCGAAAGGCGGGCUAAUACAGCAUGGGACCACAUGGUUUUGACCGAGUGGUGAAAGCGGGCCUCUGUUCACAAGCUCGCGCUCUGGGAUGGGUCUGCGUCCCAUCAGCUAGUUGGUGAGGUAAUGGCUCACCAAGGCAUCGACGGGUAGCUGGUCUGAGAGGAUGACCAGCCACGCUGGAACUGAGACACGGUCCAGACUCCUACGGGAGGCAGCAGUGGGGAAUCUUGCGCAAUGGGCGAAAGCCUGACGCAGCGACGCCGCGUGGGUGAUGAAGGCCUCGGUUGUAAG
Molecule: ribosomal RNA, 411 nt
Filed under: uncultured bacterium
Lineage: Bacteria
Description: bacterial SSU rRNA
Rfam family: Bacterial small subunit ribosomal RNA
Source: RNAcentral